This 486-nucleotide ribosomal RNA is filed under the name uncultured bacterium. Its description in RNAcentral is "partial 16S ribosomal RNA". It matches the Rfam family "Bacterial small subunit ribosomal RNA", at positions 30 to 507 of the family's 1533-position model. The record is from RNAcentral.
AUUGAACGCUGGCGGCAUGCCUUACACAUGCAAGUCGAACGGCAGCACGGGUGCUUGCCCCUGGUGGCGAGUGGCGAACGGGUGAGUAAUACAUCGGAACAUGUCCUGUAGUGGGGGAUAGCCCGGCGAAAGCCGGAUUAAUACCGCAUACGAUCCACGGAUGAAAGCGGGGGACCUUCGGGCCUCGCGCUUUAGGGUUGGCCGAUGGCUGAUUAGCUAGUUGGUGGGGUAAAGGCCUACCAAGGCGACGAUCAGUAGCUGGUCUGAGAGGACGACCAGCCACACUGGGACUGAGACACGGCCCAGACUCCUACGGGAGGCAGCAGUGGGGAAUUUUGGACAAUGGGCGAAAGCCUGAUCCAGCAAUGCCGCGUGUGUGAAGAAGGCCUUCGGGUUGUAAAGCACUUUUGUCCGGAAAGAAAUCCUUGACUCUAAUACAGUCGGGGGAUGACGGUACCGAAAGAAUAAGCACCGGCUAACUACGUG